CGCGCGGCGUCCCCGUCCUGGCGAUGACGGUUUUUUCUCUCUGUUAUUGGAAUUGAUUUUGUUAGGAGUCGCCACCUAGUAUUUAAUUGAGGGUUACUAGGAAACCCAGGUUGACUGGUCUUAUCAGAGAUUCACGGGUAAGGGACUGAUUGUGGUUAGGGAAGGUAUUAGCACCCCUAACGCACCCUACCUGAGGUAAGCUGCUUCGUGGUUGUGAUGUGUUAAAGAAGUUUUAAAAAUUGUCUUUUCGUCGGAAUUUAGAAAUACAACUUUCGUACAAGUUUGUACUUCUACACCGAGAUCCGAUCAAAAUAUUAAAUCCUUCUUUAUGCUUUGCCGUCUCGUUGUAAAAAGAUACCUGAAAUAAAUACAAACAUGCAUUUUUUUUGUUUUCUUUCUUGCCUUUUUUAUUUUUUAUAACAUAAUAAAAAACAAGCACAAACACACAUUUUUUAUUAUAUUAUAUUUUUUUCUUUUUUUUUUCCUUUUUUUUCUUCUUUUUUCUUUUUUUCUUUUUUUUUACAUCCUAAAUACAAAUUACAAUAUUCAAAAAUAAAUAAAAAAUACAUCAAAUAAUCCAAAAUUUACAAAACAGUCCUAGAACAGUCUGAAAUUGCAAGGGAACCCUUCUGCACAGGAAUUGGAGACAGGAACAGCUGGCGGCGCGUGUUCCAACGCGCCACCGUCACUGGCGGCGCGUGAGCCCACGCGCCGCCGCUGAUGGAGACCAAAAAUCAGUGGAUCGGGCCUGUCUUCCUCCACCGGCGGUGAGAGUCACCGUCACCUGCAACAGCAAGAAAAAACACACACAAAGCAAUCGGUUUUAGUUGUUCUUCAUUUUUUCUGUGCUGCUCUUUUUCUCCGUUUUGGGGCAGAUCCGUUCGUUUCUUUUCCUUUCCUAAUCUCCUCUGUUUCGCCGCUGGGCUGGAGAAAGGAGUUGUUGGGCGGUUGGCAGGAGAGGAAGAAGACAGCGGGGGCUGCCGCUGCGCUUGGUGGAGGAGCUGGAGACGGCGCCGAAGGAGAUGAUGAAGGCUGUUGUUGGCAGCGGUGGUUGGCCUUGUUGCUGAGUGCUGCUGCCGAUGCUCUUGGUGGAGGAGAUGGAGCGCCGGCUGGAGUGGGGCUUGCUGGAGCUGGAUCGGAGUGGGAGGAGCUGCUACAGGUGUGGGUUUCUCCAGGUGUGGCCGGCGGUUCUUGAUGGAGGCGACGAGGUGGCCGGCUAUGUAGCAGCUGUGGCUUGGAGAGAGUCCGGCUGGAAGAAAAGGGAAGGGAUGAUGGCGCCGGUUUGAGGGAAAAAUGGAAGGGGAGAGGCCUUGGUCGGGUGUGUGUGUUGGUUUGAGAAAAGAAGAUGAUGGUGGAACCGGCUGCGAAAUUGGAGGUUUGUGCAGGCGGCUGAAGAGAAAACAAAACCGAAAAUCCAACAAAGAAACAGGGGGGGCGGCGGCUGCCCUGGAAGAGAAGAAGAUUAGGUUUUUUUUUUAGGGUUAGGUUUGUUCUUCUUUUUUUGUUGUCAAAAAUGCCCCCCUUGCUUAGCUGAAAAUGAAGGCUAUUUAUAGGCAAAAUAGUUUUUUCGGGCUUCAAAAUUGGUCCCUCAAGUUUUGUGUUUGGCCCCCUAAUUUCAAUCAAUUCACUUGGUAAAAAUUAAAUUGGGUCUCUUAAAAUUCUGAUUUUUUAAUUAAGUCCAAAUUAAGCCCCCAAACUUAAUUUUUCACCAAUUAAGCCCUCAAAUUAAUUUGACCCGCUUAAAGUAUAAUUAAGUCCUUGCACUUAAUUAAAUCCUUCAAUUGGACCCAAAUUAAUUCUUGAACAUAAUUAAAAUUCAAUUUGGCCCAUGAUUAAAUCAAAUUGGCCCAUUGAAAAUUUAAUUAUGUCAUUGGACUUAAUUCUUAUGCAAAUUCGUCCAAUAAUCAUUUAAUUUGACCUUUGAAUUUGCAUUUUUUCUAUUUUUGGGCGUAACAGCGUACACUUGGGCCUUGAGAUUCUUCCGAAAAUUGCAUCUUGAUUUUCGCCUAUUUUGCAGCCUUUCUUGGUCGGCUUUCUCCGCAUUUCCAGCCUUUAUUAUAUUUUUUAUUUUUUAUUUUUUUGGGAAAAAAAAUGAAUUUUGGGGAAUCACCCAAAAUUGGGUGAUGACAGUUGCCCCCCUCUUUACAAUGCUUACGGUAGAAAGUCUCGUAAGAGACUUUAGAUAGUAAGCGUUGUAAAGAAGAAAAAAAAGGAUGAGAUAUGAUUGACUCAUCUUGUUGAGGAAUGAUGAAUCCUCAGGAGGGCUAGGAAGCACACUCGGAGUAAAAACUGGAAGAGUUUUUGAAAAUUCAAAGAUUUUGCAAUGGUCGAACUGUCAUGGGUGACCUACCCGAUGAAAUUUUUUUGAGGUGGUCUCAUUGUAAAGGGUGACCUACCUAGGUGAAAAACACGAAGAUUUUAAAGUGGUGAAAAAUACAGAGAUUUUUCAAGGUGGUGAAAAUGCAAAGAUUUUCCAAAGGGGUGAAAAAUACAGAGAUUUUUCAAAGUGAGGAAAAAUACAAAGAUUUUUCAGAAGGAAGGAAAAAUACAGAGAUUUUUCAAAGGUGGUCUUGUUGUAAUGAGCGACUUGCCCGGGUGAAAAAUGAAAAGAGUUUUCAAAGCGGUGAAAAAUACAAAGAUUUUUCAAAGCGGUGAAAAAUACAAAGAUUUUUCAAAGUGAGGAAAAAUACAAAGAUUUUUCAAAAAGGGUGAAAAAUACAGAGAUUUUUCAAAGUGUUUUCAUGGGAAAAAUUUGAAGGUGGUGAGAAACGCAAGGAUUUCUCAAAAAUGGUUUUAUUGUUAUGGGCAACCGGCCCAAAUGGAAGAUGAAAAGUGUUUUGAAAGAGGUCUGAUUACAAUGGGUGACCUACCCGGGCAAGAAGACAAAAUGUCUGAAAAGGAUGACAUGAUAGGACUCGAUGGGGAACAAGGGCUGAAGAGCGCACUCGAAAGGAGGUAGGGUUAGAAAAACACGCUACCUAAGGUGGUUGUUGGCCCUAAGGCGUACUAAGAAGGAGGCAGGGUUGGAAAACGCAUUACCUAAAGUGGUUGAUGGCUCGAAGGCGCCCUAAAAAAGGAGGCAGGGUUAGAAAAACACACUACCUAAGGUGGUCGUUGGCCCUAAGGCGCACUUAAAAAGAGGCAGGGUUCGAAAACGCAUUACCUAAAGUGGUUGGUGGCUCGAAGACGUACUAAAGAAAGAGGCAGGGUUGGAAAACACACUACCUAAGAGGUUCGUGGCUCGAAGAGGCACUAAAAAAGGAGGCAGGGUUAGAAAACACACUACCUAAGGUGGUUGAUGGCUCGAAGGCGCACUAAAAAGGAGGCAGGGUUAGGAAAACACACUACCUAAGGUGGUCGUUGGCCCUAAGGCGCACUUAAAAAGAGGCAGGGUUCGAAAACGCAUUACCUAAAGUGGUUAAUGGCUCUAAGGCGCACUAAAAAGGAGACAGGGUUAGGAAACACACUACCUAAGAUAGUUGGUGGCUCGAAGAAGCACCAAAAAGGGAGGCAGGGUUGGAAAACACACUACCUAAGGUGGUUGAGGGCUCUAAGGCGCACUAAAAAAAAAGAGGCAGGGUUGGAAAACACACUACCUAAGGUGGUUGAUGGCUCGGAGGCGCACUAAAAAGGAGGCAGGGUUAGAAAACACACUACCUACGAGGGUUGGUGGUCCUAAGGCGCACUUAAAAAGAGAAGGCAGGGUUGGAAAACACACUACCUAAGAUGUGAUUAAUGGCUCUAAGGUGCACUAAAAAGGAGGCAGGGUUAGGAAACACACUACCUAAGAUAGUUGGUGGCUCGAAGAAGCACCAAAAAAGGAGGUAGGGUUAGGAAACACACUACCUAAGGUGGUUGUUGGCUCGAAGGCGCACUAAAAAAGGAGGCAGGGUUAGAAAACACACUACCUAAGAUGGUUGGUGGCCCUAAGGCGCACUAAAAAGGAGGCAAGGUUAGAAAACACACUACCUAAGGUGGUCGUUGGCCCUAAGGCGCACUUAAAAAGAGGCAGGGUUCGAAAACACAUUACCUAAAGUGGUUGGUGGCUCGAAGGCGCACUAAAGAAGGAGGCAGGGUUGGAAAACACCCUACCUAAGAGGUUGGUGGCUCGAAGAGGCACUAAAAAAGGAGGUAGGGUUAGGAAACACACUACCUAAGGUGGUUGUUGGCUCGAAGGCGCACUAAAAAAGGAGGCAGGGUUAGCAAACACACUACCUAAGAUGGUUGGUGGCCCUAAGGCGCACUAAAAAGGAGGCAGGGUUAGAAAACACACUACCUAAGAUGGUUGGUGGCCCUAAGGCGCACUAAAAAGGAGGCAGGGUUAGAAAACGCAUUACCUAAAGUGGUUGGUGGCUCGAAGACGCACUAAAGAAGGAGGCAGGGUUGGAAAACACACUACCUAAGAGGUUCGUGGCUCGAAGAGGCACUAAAAAAGGAGGCAGGGUUAGAAAACACACUACCUAAGGUGGUUGAUGGCUCGAAGGCGCACUAAAAAGGAGGCAGGGUUAGGAAACACACUACCUAAGAUAGUUGGUGGCUCGAAGAAGCACCAAAAAAGGAGGUAGGGUUAGGAAACACACUACCUAAGGUGGUCGAUGGCCCUAAGGCGCACUCAAAAAGGAGGCAGGGUUGGAAAACACACUACCUAAGGUGUGAGGGCUCGAAGGCCCACUAAAAAAGAAGAUAGAUAGGGCUAGAAAGCAUUCUAUCUAAGGUGUGAGGGCUCGAAGGCCCACUUAAAAGGAUAGAUAGGGCUAGAAAGCCCACUAUCUAAGAUGUGAGGGCUCGAAAGCCCACUCAAAAAUGGAGGUAGAUAGGGCUAGAAAGCAUACUAUCUAAAUGGUGAGGGCUUGAAAGCCCACUAAAAAAUGGAGGCAGGGUUAGAAAACACACUACCUAAGGUGUGAGGGCUCGAAGGCUCACUCAAAAAGAAGGUAGAUAGGGCUAGAAAGCAUACUAUCUAAGUUGUGAGGGCUCGAAAGCCCACUAAAAAGGGAGGCAGGGUUAGAAAACACACUACCUAAAGUGUGAGGGCUCGAAGGCCCACUAAAAAAAAAGGUAGAUAGGGCUUGAAAGCACACUACCUAAGAUGUGAGGGCUCGAAAGCCCACUCAAAAAAGGAGGCAGGGUUAGAAAACACACUACCUAAGGUGUGAGGGCUCGAAGGCCCACUAAAAAGGGAGGCAGGGUUAGAAAACACUCUACCUAAGGUGUGAGGGCUCGAAGGCCCACUAAAAAGGGAGGCAGGGUUAGAAAACACUCUACCUAAGGUGUGAGGGCUCGAAGGCCCACUCAAAAAGGGAGGCAGGGUUAGAAAACACUCUACCUAAGGUGUGAGGGCUCGAAGGCCCACUAAAAAGGGAGGCAGGGUUAGAAAACACUCUACCUAUGGUGUGAGGGCUCGAAGGCCCACUAAAAAGGGAGGCAGGGUUAGAAAACACUCUACCUAAGGUGUGAGGGCUCGAAGGCCCACUCAAAAAUGGAGGCAGGGUUAGAAAACACUCUACCUAAGGUGUGAGGGCUCGUAGGCCCACUAAAAAGGGAGGCAGGGUUAGAAAACACUCUACCUAAGGUGUGAGGGCUCGUAGGCCCACUAAAAAAGAGGCAUGGUUAGAAAACACACUACCUAAGGUGUGAGGGCUCGUAGGCCCACUAAAAAAAGAGGCAUGGUUAGAAAACACACUACCUAAGGUGUGAGGGCUCGAAGGCCCACUUAAAAAGAAGGUAGAUAGGGCUAGAAAGCAUACUAUCUAAAAUGUGAGGGCUCGAAAGCCCACUCAAAAAAGGAGGUAGAUAGGGCUAGAAAGCCCACUAUCAAAAUGGUGAGGGCUUGAAAGCCCACUCAAAAAUGGAGGUGAUGGUGAGACACUAUGUCAAGGAUGAAAGCGAUGUAUCAUGAUCAAUAUGCAUGUAUACUUACCUGAGAAAUGUAGGUCCCCUUUCUUCAUGGAGUUCCCUUUUCUACAUGGAGUUCUCUUUUCUUCAUGGAGUUCUCAUUUUCUCAAAAGUUUGAGUCUCUGAUAGUAAGCUUCGAUGGCUUUUUUCGCUCUUGCUUACUCGAGUCAUCUCUUGUGAUAUUAACCCCUAGGAAAGACUUGAUAUCAUCAUACUUCUUUGUCCUCCGCCCCUUUAUCUCAAGAGUUGCCAAUUUUGCCCAAUAAUUUCUCAGAAAGGGAAUCAUGGAGCCAACCUUACUAGGAGUUUUUGGUUGCCCUCCAACUUGAUCAUGCCCCCAAGUAUUCAAAUCAGGUUUGGGGAUAAGGCUAUAUGAAGGAAGGUUUGGUUAUUUACAAGGAGUUGUUUUCAUGCAGAAUUUUUGGAAUUUCAAAGCUAUUCCACGAACAGAAAUCAUUUUGACAUCGAUUCAAAGCAGAACUCAUUCUGACAAAAUUCAAGUGAUUCCUAUGGAGAGGUUUUCAGAAGUGAUGAAAACUUUUUGUUUUGAUUUUUGGUGAAAAAUAUGAAGUGACAUUUGGUUGGUCACAAAAGGUUGAAAUUUCAAUUUGAGGGUUAAUGAGAACCGUUUUUCGACGAAAAUGUGAAAAACACAAAGUGACAUCUGGUGGGUCACAAAAGGUUGAAAUAUCAAUUUAAGGGUUAUUGAGAACCGUGUUUCAAAGCAUUCAUUUUAUUUGCAUGAAUAAUGAUUUUGUUUCGCAUGAGAAAGCACUGCCUACCGAUCCAAAUUGCUUGCCUUUGAUUAGAAAGGGCUUGAUUAGGCACGUAAUGUAGGCUUGGGCUAUUGGCUAUGAAGAAAAGGAUAUUCGUAGGCUCAAAAGGUGUUUAAGGGACUUUAAGACUAAGGAUCACUAGUGCUUAUAUCCCAAACUCUUUUGUUCAUACACUUCUGGACCUUUGAUUUGAUUUGUAAAAUGGUCCACGGUGCCCCCCAAUGUUGGGCUUGGGCUCUUUCUCUUUGUUUUUGUUUUCUUCAUUUGAUUUUGAGCACCAUUGCAUUGACUCUUUUUUUAUGCUCAGAAUUUUGGAUCCUUUGGAUUUUUUAUGCCCCCCCAGCUUUGUAUGGGCACCUUCGAUUGAUUGAGAAUUUUGUUUUAUGCCCCCUAGUAUUGUUUGGGCACUUUCAUCGUUGAAGACUUUUUAUGCCCCCCAGUGUAGGGUGUGAUCCUAGUCAAGGUUAUUUCCAAAAAACACUACUAGGCUCAAAAGGGGACUGCAAAGGAUAUAUUUUAGCCUUGUGAGAGGAUUAUCAAAGAUGGCCUUUCUUCAUCUCAAAUGCAUGCAUUUAGGAUCGGUAAGCCUUGCUUUCAUGCGAGUAUGCAGAGUGACUUCUCAUUAUUCAUGCAAAUAAAACUCCGCUUUUGGAGUCACUUCACGGUGUUUUUGUUUUUUUGGGUUUUCUUGGUGUAUGGUUACCUCUCUAAAGAAUCACCUGAAUUUCCAGAACUUGUUUGUUUUGGACAAACACCAAUAUGAUUUCUGUUUUUGUACUACACUUUGAUUUCCCAAAAAUCCUUGUGAAAACAUAGGGUCAUGCUUGUUGUUUUGGGAAAAAGGAAAAACACGCCCAAAGAUUCUUGGCGUAAUGGUUUUGUAAGUACAAAGGUGUGCUCAAUAUGUUAUUUGCAUGAACACAAAAAAAAGAAAACACAUGAUUUAUUAACAGGAAAGGCUCAUUGGACAAGGAAAAUCUUGUGGAAUUUUAAGCCAAAUUAUCGACAAAAACUGGAAUAGGUUGAAAAAAUCAAGAAAUUUUUGCAGGCAUGGUCAAGCAGGGGUAGCCUUCGAAUUUUUUUUUUUUUUUUUUAGCAGAACAAGAACUGGCUCCAUUCUGCGGUGCAAUUCCCCUUCGGAUUGUGUUGAGGCUUUUGAUCAUGUUUGCCCCCCAGUUUCUUUGGGUUGAGUUGUUGUUGGGGUUUGAACAAAGAUGAUAGGUCAAUUGGAAGGAAUUUCCCUAGAGAUAUUUUUUGAUAUUUGCUCGAGUAAGCCAGAAGCGAGUCAAGCUUUUGUUUAGAGACUCCAACUUUUUUUUGAAAAUGGGUGAUGCUGCGAGCACACUCUGUAUCUCCAAUGUUUUUUUUUUCGCUCAAAAUUGGGUGUUGCAGACUCAUAGGGGACCCACUUUUUAUUCUGGAGCAUGCAUGAGAAAAUGUAUGAACAUGCAAUUUAUAUUAUGAACUUGCCCUUCGAGGGGUGACAUAUGAUCGUCACUUUUGUAUGAUGGAACAAGAAUCUUGAUUCUUGCCCAAACUCUACAAUGAAAAUUUUCGGAGUGACGAUCAUUCUGUCACCCAAGAUGCUUCAAGAAGGGUUCGCCCCAAUGCAGAUAAAUGAUAGCACAUACAACCUAAGGACAGGAUCUAUUCAUUAUGUGAACAUGGGUAGGUUUUCUACCUGGUCUCAAAAGGGUCUAUGAACUGCCCAGUGACCACCUCCCGUGAAGGCAGUAUAGGGGUUUACAAGGGAUGGUUGGGGCACCCUGUGACCGCCAUUACCAAGUAAACACUCAGCUCAUAGUUGGAUGUUUCACGAAUCUGAACCCCGACUGAAAGUCAUGAGGCAGACCGCUACUCCCCACCUAGCUUAGAAACUUGUGUGUGCUUUCAAAAAUGAAUACAAGUGAUGCAUGAAACAAUUCUAAAAAUGCAUGGAUAAAAUAAAACAAGACAAAAAUGGCAAAAAUUAAACACAUCAAAUACACAAAGCUUAGUCCAAUAUUGUCAGAAACAAUACCUCCCCAGUGGAGUCGCCAUUCUGUCGCGCGUCGGAAAACACCCCGCGCGGGGCGUCCGCUUCCUGGCGAUGGCGGUUUUUUCUCUCUGUUAUUGGAAUUGAUUUUGUUAGGAGUCGCCACCUAGUAUUUAAUUGAGGGUUACUAGGAAACCCAGGUUGACUGAUCUUAUCAGAGAUUCACGGGUAAGGGACUAAUUGUGGUUAGGGAAGGUAUUAGCACCCCUAACGCACCCUACCUGAGGUAAGCUGCUUCGUGGUUGUGAUGUGUUAAAGAAGUUUUAAAAAUUUUGUCUUUUCGUCGGAAUUUAGAAAUACAACUUUCGUACAAGUUUGUACUUCUACACCGAGAUCCGAUCAAAAUAUUAAAUCCUUCUUUAUGCUUUGCCGUCUCGUUGUAAAAAGAUACCUGAAAUAAAUACAAACAUGCAUUUUUU
RNAcentral lists this long non-coding RNA (9125 nucleotides) under Populus trichocarpa (black cottonwood). RNAcentral describes it as "long non-coding RNA (PTRI_LNC002864)". Lineage: Eukaryota; Viridiplantae; Streptophyta; Magnoliopsida; Malpighiales; Salicaceae. The record is from RNAcentral.